GACGAACGCUGGCGGCGUGCCUAAUACAUGCAAGUAGAACGCACAGUUUAUACCGUAGCUUGCUACACCAUAGACUGUGAGUUGCGAACGGGUGAGUAACGCGUAGGUAACCUGCCUGGUAGCGGGGGAUAACUAUUGGAAACGAUAGCUAAUACCGCAUAAUAUUAAUUAUUGCAUGAUAAUUAAUUGAAAGGUGCAAUUGCACCACUACCAGAUGGACCUGCGUUGUAUUAGCUAGUAGGUGAGGUAACGGCUCACCUAGGCGACGAUACAUAGCCGACCUGGGAGGGUGAUCGGCCACACUAGGACUGAGACACGGCCCAGACUCCUACGGGAGGCAGCAGUAGGGAAGCUUCGGAAAGGGACGAAAGACUGACCGAGAAACGCCGCGUGAGUGAAGAAGGUUUUCGGAUCGUAAAGCUCUGUUGUAAGAGAAGAACGGGGGUGAGAGUGGAAAGUUCACACUGUGACGGUAUCUUACCAGAAAGGGACGGCUAACUACGUG
Molecule: ribosomal RNA, 505 nt
Filed under: uncultured bacterium
Lineage: Bacteria
Description: partial 16S ribosomal RNA
Rfam family: Bacterial small subunit ribosomal RNA
Source: RNAcentral